This 253-nucleotide ribosomal RNA is filed under the name uncultured bacterium. Its description in RNAcentral is "partial 16S ribosomal RNA". It matches the Rfam family "Bacterial small subunit ribosomal RNA", at positions 524 to 776 of the family's 1533-position model. The record is from RNAcentral.
UACGGGGGGGGUAAGCGUUGUUCGGAAUUACUGGGCGUAAAGGGCUCGUAGGCGGCCAACUAAGUCGGACGUGAAAUCCCUCAGCUUAACUGGGGAACUGCGUCCGAUACUGGAUGGCUUGGAUUUGGGAGAGGGAUGCGGAAUUCCAGGUGUAGCGGUGAAAUGCGUAGAUAUCGGGAGGAACAUCAGUGGCGAAGGCGGCUGCCUGGCCCAAUACUGACACUCAGGUGCGACAGCGUGGGGAGCAAACAGG